GACGAACGCUGGCGGCGUGCUUAACACAUGCAAGUCGAGCGGUAAGGCCCUUUUGGGGGUACACGAGCGGCGAACGGGUGAGUAACACGUGGGUGACCUGCCCUCAGCUCUGGGAUAAGCCUGGGAAACUGGGUCUAAUACUGGAUAUGACCUUUCCUCGCAUGGGGUUGGGUGGAAAGUUUUUCGGCUGGGGAUGGGCCCGGCGGCCUAUCAGCUUGUUGGUGGGGUGAUGGCCUACCAAGGCGACGACGGGUAGCCGGCCUGAGAGGGCGACCGGCCACACUGGGACUGAGACACGGCCCAGACUCCUACGGGAGGCAGCAGUGGGGAAUAUUGCGCAAUGGGCGGAAGCCUGACGCAGCGACGCCGCGUGGGGGAUGACGGCCU
This 387-nucleotide ribosomal RNA is filed under the name uncultured bacterium. RNAcentral describes it as "bacterial SSU rRNA". It matches the Rfam family "Bacterial small subunit ribosomal RNA", at positions 28 to 417 of the family's 1533-position model. The record is from RNAcentral.